This 673-nucleotide ribosomal RNA is filed under the name Salmonella enterica. Its description in RNAcentral is "partial 16S ribosomal RNA". It matches the Rfam family "Bacterial small subunit ribosomal RNA", at positions 848 to 1522 of the family's 1533-position model. Lineage: Bacteria; Pseudomonadati; Pseudomonadota; Gammaproteobacteria; Enterobacterales; Enterobacteriaceae. The record is from RNAcentral. RNAcentral also lists the same sequence under 1 other name.
GAGCUAACGCGUUAAGUAGACCGCCUGGGGAGUACGGCCGCAAGGUUAAAACUCAAAUGAAUUGACGGGGGCCCGCACAAGCGGUGGAGCAUGUGGUUUAAUUCGAUGCAACGCGAAGAACCUUACCUGGUCUUGACAUCCACAGAAGAAUCCAGAGAUGGAUUUGUGCCUUCGGGAACUGUGAGACAGGUGCUGCAUGGCUGUCGUCAGCUCGUGUUGUGAAAUGUUGGGUUAAGUCCCGCAACGAGCGCAACCCUUAUCCUUUGUUGCCAGCGGUUAGGCCGGGAACUCAAAGGAGACUGCCAGUGAUAAACUGGAGGAAGGUGGGGAUGACGUCAAGUCAUCAUGGCCCUUACGACCAGGGCUACACACGUGCUACAAUGGCGCAUACAAAGAGAAGCGACCUCGCGAGAGCAAGCGGACCUCAUAAAGUGCGUCGUAGUCCGGAUUGGAGUCUGCAACUCGACUCCAUGAAGUCGGAAUCGCUAGUAAUCGUGGAUCAGAAUGCCACGGUGAAUACGUUCCCGGGCCUUGUACACACCGCCCGUCACACCAUGGGAGUGGGUUGCAAAAGAAGUAGGUAGCUUAACCUUCGGGAGGGCGCUUACCACUUUGUGAUUCAUGACUGGGGUGAAGUCGUAACAAGGUAACCGUAGGGGAACCUGCGGUUGGA